This 442-nucleotide ribosomal RNA is filed under the name uncultured Anoxybacillus sp. RNAcentral's name for it is "bacterial SSU rRNA". It matches the Rfam family "Bacterial small subunit ribosomal RNA", at positions 941 to 1382 of the family's 1533-position model. Lineage: Bacteria; Bacillati; Bacillota; Bacilli; Caryophanales; Anoxybacillaceae. The record is from RNAcentral.
GUGGUUUAAUUCGAAGCAACGCGAAGAACCUUACCAGGUCUUGACAUCCCUGACAACCCGAGAGAUCGGGCGUUCCCCUUCGGGGGACAGGGUGACAGGUGGCGCAUGGUUGUCGUCAGCUCGUGUCGUGAGAUGUUGGGUUAAGUCCCGCAACGAGCGCAACCCUCGACCUUAGUUGUCAGCAUUCAGUUGGGCACUCUAAGGUGACUGCCGGCUAAAAGUCGGAGGAAGGUGGGGAUGACGUCAAAUCAUCAUGCCCCUUAUGACCUGGGCUACACACGUGCUACAAUGGGCGGUACAAAGGGUCGCGAACCCGCGAGGGGGAGCCAAUCCCAAAAAGCCGCUCUCAGUUCGGAUUGCAGGCUGCAACUCGCCUGCAUGAAGCCGGAAUCGCUAGUAAUCGUGGAUCAGCCAUGCCACGGUGAAUACGUUCUCGGGUCUU